GACGAACGCUGGCGGCGUGCUUAACACAUGCAAGUCGAACGGAAAGGCCCUUUCGGGGGUACUCGAGUGGCGAACGGGUGAGUAACACGUGGGUGAUCUGCCCUGCACUUUGGGAUAAGCCUGGGAAACUGGGUCUAAUACCGAAUAUUUCCUGCUGGCCGCAUGGUCUGGUGGGGGAAAGCUUUUGCGGUGUGGGAUGAGCCCGCGGCCUAUCAGCUUGUUGGUGGGGUGAUGGCCUACCAAGGCGACGACGGGUAGCCGGCCUGAGAGGGUGUCCGGCCACACUGGGACUGAGAUACGGCCCAGACUCCUACGGGAGGCAGCAGUGGGGAAUAUUGCACAAUGGGCGCAAGCCUGAUGCAGCGACGCCGCGUGGGGGAUGACGGCCUUCGGGUUGUAAACCUCUUUCAGUACCGACGAAGCGCAAGUGACGGUAGGUACAGAAGAAGCACCGGCCAACUACGUGC
Molecule: ribosomal RNA, 467 nt
Filed under: Mycobacterium sp. MZ-7496
Lineage: Bacteria; Bacillati; Actinomycetota; Actinomycetes; Mycobacteriales; Mycobacteriaceae
Description: bacterial SSU rRNA
Rfam family: Bacterial small subunit ribosomal RNA
Source: RNAcentral